GACGAACGCUGGCGGCGUGCCUAAUACAUGCAAGUCGAACGCAUUUUCUUUCACCGUAGCUUGCUACACCGAAAGAAAAUGAGUGGCGAACGGGUGAGUAACACGUGGGUAACCUUCCCAUCAGCGGGGGAUAACACUUGGAAACAGGUGCUAAUACCGCAUAAUUCCAUUUACCGCAUGGUAGAUGGGUGAAAGGCGCUUUUGCGUCACUGAUGGAUGGACCCGCGGUGCAUUAGCUAGUUGGUGGGGUAACGGCCUACCAAGGCUGCGAUGCAUAGCCGACCUGAGAGGGUGAUCGGCCACACUGGGACUGAGACACGGCCCAGACUCCUACGGGAGGCAGCAGUAGGGAAUCUUCGGCAAUGGACGCAAGUCUGACCGAGCAACGCCGCGUGAGUGAAGAAGGUUUUCGGAUCGUAAAACUCUGUUGUUAGAGAAGAACAAGGAUGAGAGUGGAAAGUUCAUCCCUUGACGGUAUCUAACCAGAAAGCCACGGCUAACUACGUG
RNAcentral lists this ribosomal RNA (507 nucleotides) under uncultured bacterium. RNAcentral describes it as "partial 16S ribosomal RNA". It matches the Rfam family "Bacterial small subunit ribosomal RNA", at positions 28 to 507 of the family's 1533-position model. The record is from RNAcentral.